This is a long non-coding RNA of Astatotilapia calliptera (eastern happy), 1048 nucleotides long. The record is from Ensembl. NCBI's taxonomy places the organism in Eukaryota, Metazoa, Chordata, Actinopteri, Cichliformes, Cichlidae.
AGCAAAGUUUAGCUAGGGGGGCCGAUAGGGCAUUAACAGGGAAAAGGGGGCACAAAGACAUACUUUUCUUUCUUAUUCUCAUUUAAAAUGUCUAGCUUUUAAUAAAUAAUUAUCUGACACACAAAGUUUUAAUUUGAUGUAAAAUGAAUAGAAGUCAAUUACUGUAUAUAGUAACUAUUAAGUCUAAUAUAUAUACCCUAGUAAGCUAUAGUACUUUUUCCUUUGGGAAGGUACCAUCUGUGCAGUCUGCAAUUUUGUUGAAGAAAGAUGUUGAAUCUAUUUAAUAUUUCUUGAAAAAUAAUUGAUUUCUGUGCAUUUUUUUUUCACACUGCAUCAAAUUAAGGUUGAUUACGUCGAUUAAGCAUCAUGAGGUGGAGCGUGAGGGGUGGUUCCCUAUUUUUUAUUUAUUUAUUUUUAUUGUUGCUGGGAGUUGGAACCCUAUUAGUUAGGUUGCUUAAUAUUUAUGCUAAGUACUCUUUAAAAUACCAGAAUAGGGAGGAUGGUGUAGGUUUAAGUUUAUUAGAUUGAUCAGUAUUGCUGAACUAUGAAAUUUUUUUUUUUGCAUACAGGUAUAACAGAAUAGCUUUAGUGUAGUUGUUGUUUUAAACUUGAGUAUGAACUUAUACAAAAUGCAGCAAAAUAUUUAAAAAACAGUUUUGUUGAUUAAAAAACACUAUAUCGGAUUCAUAUAGGUAUUGGCAGAUAUCCAAAUUUAUGAUAUCGGUAUCGGUAUCGGACAUAAAAAAGUGGUAUCGUGCCAUCUCUAGUAAUCACACUAUAAACUCAACAUUUCUCAGUUGCAGGGCUGAAGAAAAAUUUAGCAAUGUGUUUUUCUUCUUAUUAAGCUUUUCUACUCUUAGUCGUCCAUCUGUAACUGGUCAUGGAGUUGCUCAGCAACAGUAACCACUGCUAGUUAAUGUAAGCUUCUGGUCGUCGAGGUCCUCAAUGUUCUAAUGAUUCCUUUAAUGUAAGACAAAAAGGAGAAUAUUAAACAAUAAUUUAUAUAAAAACAGAUUCUUUUUUUCAGAUCAUACGGCUUGCAUCCACC